CUACAACAAAGAGAACCGUACACCAACACAACCCGAGAGGGUUCACUGCAAGAUGCAAACCACGGGGCACACAAAACGGUGUGGGCACAAGUGAACCCGUGAACUCUCGAGACCACAGCCAAGACAUUUUCCCACGUGAAAAAAGCUCUGACCUCAGUAGAGUCAUUCUGUCUUCUCAGGAAUCGCUCGUCUCUAAAUGCAUUUCGUUUGCUGUGUUCCUGCUUGCCUUCUGAAUGCUCUGGGUUAAGAAUCAUCACCUGUCUCGCAGCGCUGUCGUCUGCCUUCCUGUUUCUCGUUAUACGUACCACCCGGGCGAAGAGCACGCAAGAGUGCAAUCAAGAUUUGCCGGAUAGGUAUUAUGAAAUGUCUUCCGUCGUACAAACUAUGAUAUGGAAUUAUCCUCGCCAACCCCUUCAUUAUUCUGACCUAAAUAUCAGAUAAGCAUUAACGUCUAAAUAAAUGUCUCCCAAACGGGGGUCAAGUGUUUGUGUUUUAACGGCAGUCUGCAAGAAAUUCUCUCAUUGUUGAGAGACUGGACGAGUCUUAUUGAUUUAUUUUACUGUUGUAGUUUGUUAGUAUGAUUAAAGACAGUACAGUUAAGUUUGCAAUUUCCAUCUUUAUUUGUAACAUUAAGGAGGUCAACAUCUUAAUCAGUACUGACAGAUUCCGAGCAAUUCAGCCAUGUUUGCAAAAUAUACAAUGAAGGAACAAUGAGGAGAGGUUAACAGUGGCAGGAUGCAGUUGGUUCUGUUCUGCAAUGGAGAAAGAUGGGAUUAAGUCAGCCAGGGGUCCCC
Molecule: long non-coding RNA, 794 nt
Organism: Anguilla anguilla (European eel)
Lineage: Eukaryota; Metazoa; Chordata; Actinopteri; Anguilliformes; Anguillidae
Exons: 3
Source: RefSeq, a predicted model, not a curated record